UUGGUUAAGUUAGAAAGGGCGCACGGUGGAUGCCUUGGCACUAGGAGCCGAAGAAGGACGGGACUAACACCGAUAUGCUUUGGGGAGCUGUACGUAAGCGUUGAUCCAGAGAUUUCCGAAUGGGGGAACCCACUAUCUUUAGUCGGAUAGUAUCCUUACGUGAAUACAUAGCGUGAGGAAGGCAGACCCAGGGAACUGAAACAUCUAAGUACCUGGAGGAAGAGAAAGAAAAAUCGAUUUCCUGAGUAGCGGCGAGCGAAACGGAAAGAGCCCAAACCAAGAAGCUUGCUUCUUGGGGUUGUAGGACACUCUAUACGGAGUUACAAAAGAAAGUUAUAAAUGAAGCGGUCUGGAAAGGCCCGCCAAAGACGGUAACAGCCCGGUAGUUGAAAUGGCUUUCCCUCCAGAGUGGAUCCUGAGUACGGCGGAACACGUGAAAUUCCGUCGGAAUCCGGGAGGACCAUCUCCCAAGGCUAAAUACUCCCUAGUGACCGAUAGUGAACCAGUACCGUGAGGGAAAGGUGAAAAGCACCCCGGAAGGGGAGUGAAACAGUUCCUGAAACCGUGUGCCUACAAGUAGUUAGAGCCCGUUAAUGGGUGAUAGCGUGCCUUUUGUAGAAUGAACCGGCGAGUUACGAUUUGUUGCAAGGUUAAGCGGAAAAAGCGGAGCCGUAGCGAAAGCGAGUCUGAAUAGGGCGCAUAAGUAACAGGUCGUAGACCCGAAACCAGGUGAUCUACCCAUGUCCAGGAUGAAGGUAAGGUAAUACUUACUGGAGGUCCGAACCCACGCACGUUGAAAAGUGCGGGGAUGAGGUGUGGGUAGCGGAGAAAUUCCAAUCGAACUUGGAGAUAGCUGGUUCUCUCCGAAAUAGCUUUAGGGCUAGCCUCGAGGUAAAGAGUCAUGGAGGUAGAGCACUGUUUGGACUAGGGGCCCUUCUCGGGUUACCGAAUUCAGAUAAACUCCGAAUGCCAUGUACUUAUACUCGGGAGUCAGACUGCGAGUGAUAAGAUCCGUAGUCGAAAGGGAAACAGCCCAGACCACCAGUUAAGGUCCCCAAAUAUAUGUUAAGUGGAAAAGGAUGUGGGGUUGCUUAGACAACCAGGAUGUUGGCUUAGAAGCAGCCACCAUUGAAAGAGUGCGUAAUAGCUCACUGGUCGAGUGACCCCGCGCCGAAAAUGUACCGGGGCUAAACAUAUUACCGAAACUGUGGAUGAACCUCUUUAGAGGUUCGUGGUAGGAGAGCGUUCUAAGGGCGGUGAAGUCAGACCGGAAGGACUGGUGGAGCGCUUAGAAGUGAGAAUGCCGGUAUGAGUAGCGAAAGAAGGGUGAGAAUCCCUUCCACCGAAUAUCUAAGGUUUCCUGAGGAAGGCUCGUCCGCUCAGGGUUAGUCGGGACCUAAGCCGAGGCCGAUAGGCGUAGGCGAUGGACAACAGGUAGAGAUUCCUGUACCAGUGCUAAUUGUUUAACCGAUGGGGUGACACAGAAGGAUAGGGAAUCGCACGAAUGGAAAUGUGCGUCCAAGCAGUGAGUGUGAGAAGUAGGCAAAUCCGCUUCUCGCGAAGCAUGAGCUGUGAUGGGGAAGGAAAUUAAGUACGGAAGUUCCUGAUUUCACGCUGUCAAGAAAAGCCUCUAGGAAGAG
This 1640-nucleotide ribosomal RNA is filed under the name Listeria monocytogenes. RNAcentral's name for it is "partial 23S ribosomal RNA". It matches the Rfam family "Bacterial large subunit ribosomal RNA", at positions 1 to 1631 of the family's 2925-position model. The record is from RNAcentral. Lineage: Bacteria; Bacillati; Bacillota; Bacilli; Caryophanales; Listeriaceae.